This 497-nucleotide ribosomal RNA is filed under the name uncultured bacterium. Its description in RNAcentral is "partial 16S ribosomal RNA". It matches the Rfam family "Bacterial small subunit ribosomal RNA", at positions 28 to 507 of the family's 1533-position model. The record is from RNAcentral.
GAUGAACGCUGGCGGCGUGCCUAAUACAUGCAAGUCGAGCGAACAGACGAGGAGCUUGCCCCUCUGACGUUAGCGGCGGACGGGUGAGUAACACGUGGAUAACCUACCUAUAAGACUGGGAUAACUUCGGGAAACCGGAGCUAAUACCGGAUAAUAUAUUGAACCGCAUGGUUCAAUAGUGAAAGACGGUUUUGCUGUCACUUAUAGAUGGAUCCGCGACGCAUUAGCUAGUUGGUAAGGUAACGGCUUACCAAGGCGACGAUGCGUAGCCGACCUGAGAGGAUGAUCGGCCACACUGGAACUGAGACACGGUCCAGACUCCUACGGGAGGCAGCAGUAGGGAAUCUUGCGCAAUGGGCGAAAGCCUGACGGAGCAACGCCGCGUGUGUGAUGAAGGUCUUCGGAUCGUAAAACUCUGUUAUUAGGAAAGAACAAAUGUGUAAGUAACUAUGCGCGGCUUGAUGGUACCUGAUCAGAAAGCCACGGCUAACUACGUG